This 347-nucleotide ribosomal RNA is filed under the name uncultured bacterium. Its description in RNAcentral is "bacterial SSU rRNA". It matches the Rfam family "Bacterial small subunit ribosomal RNA", at positions 28 to 353 of the family's 1533-position model. The record is from RNAcentral.
GACGAACGCUGGCGGCGUGCUUAACACAUGCAAGUCGAACGAGACGAUUUAGAAGCUUGCUUUUAUUGAGUCGAGUGGCAAACGGGUGAGUAACGCGUAGACAACCUGCCGCAAAGAUGGGGACAACAGUCCGAAAGGACUGCUAAUACCGAAUGUUGUAUCUCCUCGCAUGAAAGAGAUAUUAAAGAUGGCCUCUACUUGUAAGCGUAUCGCUUUGCGAUGGGUCUGCGUCUGAUUAGCUAGUUGGUGGGCAACGGCCUACCAAGGCGACGAUCAGUAGCCGGUCUGAGAGGAUGAACGGCCACAUUGGAACUGAGACACGGUCCAGACUCCUACGGGAGGCAGCA